CCUAUGGGCGGCAGCAGUGGGGGAUAUUGCACAAUGGGGGGAACCCUGAUGCAGCGACGCCGCGUGGGGGAAGAAGCGCCUCGGCGCGUAAAGCCCUGUCAGCAGGGAAGAAAAUGACGGUACCUGAAGAAGAAGCCCCUGCUAAAUACGGGCCAGCAGCCGCGGUCAUACGUAGGGGGCAAGCGUUAUCCGGAUUUACUGGGUGGAAAGUGGGCGCAGACGGCGAUGCAAGCCAGGGGUGAAAGCCCGGGGCCCAACCCGGGGACUGCUCGUGGAACUGCGUGGCUGGAGUGCAGGAGGGGCAGGCGGAAGUCCUGGUGUAGCGGUGAAAUGCGUAGAUAUCAGGAGGAACACCGGUGGCGAAGGCGGCCUGCUGGACGGCAACUGACGUUGAGGCCCGAAAGCGUGGGGAGCAAACAGGAUUAGAUACCCCUGUAGUC
Molecule: ribosomal RNA, 440 nt
Filed under: uncultured bacterium
Lineage: Bacteria
Description: partial 16S ribosomal RNA
Rfam family: Bacterial small subunit ribosomal RNA
Source: RNAcentral